Molecule: long non-coding RNA, 2050 nt
Organism: Gallus gallus (chicken)
Lineage: Eukaryota; Metazoa; Chordata; Aves; Galliformes; Phasianidae
Source: Ensembl
AAUUAGUAAUUUUAGAGAAUAAACAAGAUGACAAGUGCUUAACAUCAGAAGGUAGAAAGAAGGAAUUCAUCAGGGCUGGCAGCCUCCCACUCCUGUAUCCCAUUCACAUUAUCUCAGUCACACCAUAAUUGGAAGUUUAGGCAGUAGCUCUUUUUUUUUACACAGCAUAAAGUUAUACAAAUAACAAGCAUUAAAUAAGAAACAUUGCACCGCAUCGAGAUUAACAAAAGUAAUAAUGCUGACCUUGCUAGCACUCAAGUCUUUUCAACCGCGAAUAAUCUUCCACCCUGACAAGGAGGAGCAAGUCACCUAAUCCUCUAGCAUGUUCAUGAUAGAAGAAUUGCCACUCCUUCCCAAUUAAUCAUUCUCUGAGACAGUUUUCUUACACUUGAAAAGAGUACUCCUUAGCCUUUUGCCAGCCAGUGUUCCCCUUGUACAGAAAAGAGCCAGCUAGAGGUCUCCUGAAUUUGUUCCAGUGAUAACCCUUGUGUUUCAUGUCUAGCACACUGUAUUUGCCCAGGCCCGAAAGCCCCUUAAAUGGCCAUUGGGUGUCCUUGCCCCAGUAUAUCUAAAGAGAAAGCAUAUUUAAAUCUUUGUGAGGUUUUACACUGUUCAAAACUAAUGUCUCUUUGUAGUUUUUUCUCAGUGUUCAUUGGGGAGAGCUUGCCAUUUUACUAUGGUAUGAAGAUUAAUGACCCCUAAGAGGAGUCCUGUGGAUUUCAUUUGUAUUCUCGAUGCUGUGUUUUCACACUUUCAGAGAGCAGAGCUGAACUUCUGAACCACUCCGUCAACCCUGUUAAUUUGACAGUGAUUUACCUCUCUCUUAAUUCACACUGGAAUAUCAUCAGCUGUAGCUAUUUGCUUGUUACUCCACUUAUAAGGGGAAAUCCGUGGUUCAUUGCCACAGCACAAGGACUUAGUACACCCAAAUGUGUGAAUGACCUUGACUGGGAAAUAGACAAUUUUUUUCAGCCCGUGUUAAUACCUGAGUAUACCUAUAAUAGAUGUCAGGUGCUUCAUGUAUUCUGCUUCCAAUUCUCAUUGAGGAUUGAGGUCUCUAAAUUCUUUCUCUUUCUCCCUGGAAGGAUUCCAUUUCCUGGAGAAGGAUCUACGUUCAAGAGAUGAAGCUGUCAUCAGUGUGUAUAUUUAUACUCAUGUGAGUUUUGAAUAAUGAAUAGUAGAAAAGAUGGAGUUCAAAGUUAUGCCUAAUGAAAACCUUGUAAAGGCCAAUGCAAUUACACCUGUAGCUAAGAAUUUUUGGUGUACUUCAAGAGUGUGCAUAGACAUCAUUUCAUACCUCAUUUUUGCCAAGCUGUACUGACAGUGCUCCUGGAAACACUGGUUUCCAAACCAACAAGCAGCAGCAACAUCUGCAACUGCAGUGAGCACUGAACUUUGCAGGAUAACAUUUCAUAUUGGAGAACAGGCUAAAGUGGGGUCUGACUGCCUCAAUGGAUGUUACCAGCUUUACAGAAGGAAUGCUUGAGGAAAUUUCUACUGUUAGACUUGUUGAUACACUUUUUGAGACCAUGAAACACCAAAAUGCAGAUGCUGUCAGCAGGAGGAUGGUCUCAGUGUCACAGCCUCCUGAAGUUUAAUAGACAUCUUUACCUUUCUUGCAUAGAUAAAAAAGUAGAUCAGCAAGACUGGAAAAGAAAGGCAGUGUGUCUCAACAGAGCGUCAGAAACAGCUGAAGACAACCGACAUCUAUUGCAAACCCAAUGCAGAAGAACCAAAGUUCCAACAAACUCCAGGCCAGACACAAUUGCUCUUCUAUUGUGGUGCCACCAAAGGAAGUGUCUAGGGGCAGUACUGGCUCCUGGAUCUCCCCUUGUUGGGGAUCUUUGAGGAAUCUCACACAUAAAAAGUUUACUUGCAUUAUUUUUAAAUGAUUAUAUUUUAAAAGCACUAUGUCUUUAGUAAAUGCUGCUCCCUUUAAAAUAACAAAAUCAACAGAAACAUUAGUUAGCUGCUUCACAUGAUAUAUGCCUUUCAAAAAUAUAAGCUUAGCAUUUACUUACGUUAUGCUUUAGUAAACUUGGCAAGAAAC